CACGGGUGAGUAACACGUAUCCAACCUGCCGUCUACUCUUGGCCAGCCUUCUGAAAGGAAGAUUAAUCCAGGAUGGCAUCAUGAGUUCACAUGUUCACAUGAUUAAAGGUAUUCCGGUAGACGAUGGGGAUGCGUUCCAUUAGAUAGUAGGCGGGGUAACGGCCCACCUAGUCUUCGAUGGAUAGGGGUUCUGAGAGGAAGGUCCCCCACAUUGGAACUGAGACACGGUCCAA
This 233-nucleotide ribosomal RNA is filed under the name uncultured bacterium. RNAcentral describes it as "partial 16S ribosomal RNA". It matches the Rfam family "Bacterial small subunit ribosomal RNA", at positions 102 to 334 of the family's 1533-position model. The record is from RNAcentral.